Molecule: ribosomal RNA, 457 nt
Filed under: Campylobacter gracilis
Lineage: Bacteria; Pseudomonadati; Campylobacterota; Epsilonproteobacteria; Campylobacterales; Campylobacteraceae
Description: bacterial SSU rRNA
Rfam family: Bacterial small subunit ribosomal RNA
Source: RNAcentral
AGUGAACGCUGGCGGCGUGCCUAAUACAUGCAAGUCGAACGGAAUUUAAAAGAGCUUGCUCUUUUGAAUUUAGUGGCGCACGGGUGAGUAAUAUAUAGCUAAUCUGCCCCUUGCUGGAGGACAACAGUUAGAAAUGACUGCUAAUACUCCAUACUCCUUUUUACCAUAAGAUAAAUCGGGAAAGAAUUUCAGCAAGGGAUGAGACUAUAUCGUAUCAGCUAGUCGGUGGGGUAACGGCCUACCGAGGCUAUGACGCGUAACUGGUCUGAGAGGAUGAUCAGUCACAUUGGAACUGAGACACGGUCCAAACUCCUACGGGAGGCAGCAGUAGGGAAUAUUGCGCAAUGGGGGAAACCCUGACGCAGCAACGCCGCGUGGAGGAUGACACUUUUCGGAGCGUAAACUCCUUUUGUUAGGGAAGAAUAAUGACGGUACCUAACGAAUAAGCACCGGCUAA